Molecule: microRNA precursor, 171 nt
Filed under: Paramuricea clavata
Lineage: Eukaryota; Metazoa; Cnidaria; Anthozoa; Malacalcyonacea; Plexauridae
Source: RNAcentral
GUUCAAAACUGAACCGAAAAUGCAAGACUUGCUUUAAUUGUUUUCUGUCAGUGUUUAUAUUCAUUGAUCUAGCACAUGUAAAUAACAUGAGUUCCAUUAUAGUAAAUAAUACAGAAAGAAAUUGAAAGAAAACGUUAAAGCAAGUCUUGCAUUUUCGGUUCAGUUUUGAAC